CUGAUAUGUAUGAACAUGCAUCAUCUGUUUCUAGUGCAAAGUGGGCAGAAUCGAGUGCCCAUUAUAAGGUAGUGUUCUACCUAAUGUAUUAAAUUUUUUAUUGUCAUAUGGCUGAGGACACUUAUUGAGUUAAUUAAGCUCCAUAGAGGAAUAGAGAAAUUGAAGGGCAAGAUAGAGAGGUCAUUUGGGGGAAGAGGAAGCCGGAAGGUGAGGCUGCUGGCUGCAGGAUGAUAUGGUUGUAGCAACAAUCAUUCAGUGUUGUUUGAGGACUCGUUUGGAAGUGCUUUGAAAAUGAUUAGAAAUGCUUUUGGAGAAUUUUUUUUUUAGUUUAAAAAACACUUGAAGUGUUUCUUGCAAGAAGUACCAAUUAUGAACUUGUCCAAGAAACACUUCAAGUACUUUUACAUGAUUCACUUGCAUUUUUAUUAAGGAGUGAUUCAAAAAACAUAUUCACCAUAAGCACUUUCAGCUAUUUUAAAAACAUUUAUAAACGGACUUGAGUUUCUUCCGUUUGGAAAUUUUCAUCUUUUAAAUAUUAAGUAGUUUUUUUUUUCAAAAAUUUGCAUAAAGAAAACAUAUAAAAUAUCAUUUACAGUCAUGUCAUUUUGGGAUAUAAAUGUCAUCUAAUUUUUUUAAUAAUUUAUAAUUUAUGGGUGUUUAGAUAUCAGUUUCAGUUGUUAACAUAAUUUCUCUUAAAUGUUGUCUGUUUUGGUGUAUCCUUUUCAGAGUGAUUUCAAGCGGCAUCUUUAUACAAUAAUAGCAGAAGUUUUAUAUCUGAUUAAAGUGGUUCUACAUCUGAUUGCUUUGGCAGCGUCAGAAGGCUUAACCGCUGGAUUUAUGGGAUUUUUGGAUAGCAAGAGUGCUUAUAGCUAGCUCCGGCUAGUUUGGCAGUCUCAGGAGGCUCAACCGUUGGACUAGCCUAGCUAAUGGGCAGUUCAAAUAUUGUCCUCUAUGCAAUUACUUAAUGCGUGGCUCUGGGGGUUAUUGUGUUGUUAUUACUAUGCUCUUUUUUCUCAAACGAAUUUAUGCUCCUUUUAAGUUGUAAUUAUCGUUCAGCUUACUAUAUAUGUUUGAACCUUUUAUAUGAUUUGAUUGUAAUAAAAUCGCGUUUACGGAUGUUGUCCCUUAUGUUCAUUUGUCAAAAGGCAAGUCCUUUUGGCUUGGUAAAGGCCAUGUAGUCGUUCGUCCGAAAAAACAAAGGCCAGGCGGUCCGGUCAAAUUGUGGCAUCAACUCCCUUCUCUCUCUAACCGUCACACGCUCACUACUCACAACCCUUUGGGUAUUAACUACAUUGAGAAUAAUCAAAGGACAAUGAAUAAUUGAGAAAGAUGAGGAGCUAGAGAGAAAUUUUAAAGAGAAAUAUGGCUUCUGUAUUUCUAAGAAAAUAACUAACUAAUUACAUUUGUCAGUUGCAGUUCUUUAUAUGAUAAAACAAUACAAACUUACUUGUAACUGAUUAACCAACUAACAAAUCAUUUAAUAGCCUAACAAAUAUUCUAACAACUUUGAUUGACGUGACAAUGAUUAUAUAACAACCUAUAAUCAAGAUAAACAAUCAUUUGUUUAGUCUCUCACACACCCUAAUUUAGUUAUGUUAAUUGUUUUUUAGGAUAAUUCUUUGUGUCUGUAGUUUUGGGUAGAUAGAUUAACAAAAAUCAUUGUGCUGUCUAUAAUUUGAUGGAGAUGUUGAAUUAUUGUAUUUUUAGUCUCUUCAAACAAAAAUGAUACACUUACUACAUAUUUGUACUAUCAUUGUACAAUCUAUCAAAUAAAAGUUGAGUCCGCCAACACAUGUAAGUCUCAUAUCAAUUAGAGAGAUGGUACAAAUAUAUUGCAAAAGUAGUAUUUUUGCUAAAUUAAACUAGCAAGUAUAACGUCUCAGUGUUGAGGGAUUCUUAAACAUAUGUAUGUUGAGAAAUGAUUUCCACACAAUCUUUUUUUUUUUGGUAGUAAACUCCUAUUAUGUUUUGUCUUGAUUCUCCUCUUAUUUAUUCACCUAAAAGUUAGAAAUAGCUUUAGAGGGUGUGUCAAGAAUAUAAGUGUGUAAAAUUGAUUUCCAAGUAUGUAGGCUUAUUUGUGUGUG
Molecule: long non-coding RNA, 2084 nt
Filed under: Malus domestica (apple)
Lineage: Eukaryota; Viridiplantae; Streptophyta; Magnoliopsida; Rosales; Rosaceae
Description: long non-coding RNA (MDOM_LNC014827)
Source: RNAcentral